This 164-nucleotide ribosomal RNA is filed under the name uncultured bacterium. Its description in RNAcentral is "partial 16S ribosomal RNA". It matches the Rfam family "Bacterial small subunit ribosomal RNA", at positions 355 to 511 of the family's 1533-position model. The record is from RNAcentral.
UAGGGAAUCUUCCACAAUGGACGAAAGUCUGAUGGAGCAACACCGCGUGAGUGAAGAAGGGUUUCGGCUCGUAAAACUCUGUUGUUAAAGAAGAACAUAUCUGAGAGUAACUGUUCAGGUAUUGACGGUAUUUAACCAGAAAGCCACGGCUAACUACGUGCUAG